UACGUAGGGGGCAAGCGUUGUCCGGAAUCAUUGGGCGUAAAGCGCGCGUAGGCGGUCCGGUAAGUCCGCUGUGAAAGUCGGGGGCUCAACCCUCGGAUGGCGGUGGAUACUGUCGGGCUUGAGUACGGAAGAGGCGAGUGGAAUUCCUGGUGUAGCGGUGAAAUGCGCAGAUAUCAGGAGGAACACCAAUUGCGAAGGCAGCUCGCUGGGACGUUACUGACGCUGAGACGCGAAAGCGUGGGGAGCAAACAGG
Molecule: ribosomal RNA, 253 nt
Filed under: uncultured bacterium
Lineage: Bacteria
Description: partial 16S ribosomal RNA
Rfam family: Bacterial small subunit ribosomal RNA
Source: RNAcentral